This 239-nucleotide long non-coding RNA is filed under the name Solanum tuberosum (potato). RNAcentral's name for it is "long non-coding RNA (STUB_LNC002525)". The record is from RNAcentral. Lineage: Eukaryota; Viridiplantae; Streptophyta; Magnoliopsida; Solanales; Solanaceae.
GGGACCGGAGCACCGCUUGACCAUCCUCCUCCGCGUGGUUAAUACGAUUUCCUAUCAAGGUUAUUGGUGAGUCCUCCAUUCCGGGGACGUUGCUCAUGAUCUUUUGCUAUGUAUAAGACCUUUCUUUUUUAGUUAUGUUUUGACUAUGAGGGUGAGCCCGGUAGUUUUUCUUGGCCCCCGCUAAGUACUCAUGUUUAGAGGUGGUGUUGGACAAGUUGUGUUUUAUGCUUGAGCUUGAC